CAGCUAAAAAGUGGUGCCAGGUAGAGUGUCAACAAGUACAAGUGUACAGACCCGGUCUGAGCGCUAGCCGAAUCUGACUCUAAGACUACCGUAUCUAGCAAACUAGUCAUCCAGAAAGAUCAUAAACCGAUCUGCUCAUCAACCGGCUAGUCAUCUUGAGCCAAUCAUGCGAGAAAUCCAGCCCGGUUUCAGGCCUCUUACUGCAAGCCAGCGUGUGACCAUCAGCAGCAUUGCCUGUGCAGUGGAAACUAGCUCGUCUUCCUAAAGUUUCUAACCUAAAGAGAUUGGUUGAUGGUUACCAUUUUAUAAGAAGAAAGGAAUUUUGAAGCUUCCUCGCUAGCCAAGGUUGCAGCAGUUAGCGGCGUCAGCUGGGUGGUCCAUGUUGACGCAACAGCUUCAAACGGCAGUUGCCAAGAUUAUACUGAUGCCCAGAUAGGCGCCAACCACAGCUCAUGCUGAACAAUUCCUAGAGGGGCGCGAACCACAGCUCGUGCUGAACGAUGCCUAGAGGGGCGCCAACCACAGCUCGUGCUGAACAAUUCCCAGAGGGGCGCCAACCACAGCUCGUGCUGAACGAUGCCUA
Acanthaster planci (crown-of-thorns starfish) is the source of this 583-nucleotide long non-coding RNA. RefSeq lists it as uncharacterized. Lineage: Eukaryota; Metazoa; Echinodermata; Asteroidea; Valvatida; Acanthasteridae. The record is from RefSeq and is a predicted model, not a curated record.